GUAGCCGCCCGCCACAGUCACA
This 22-nucleotide microRNA is filed under the name Petromyzon marinus (sea lamprey). RNAcentral describes it as "pma-miR-4599b". The record is from miRBase by way of RNAcentral. Lineage: Eukaryota; Metazoa; Chordata; Hyperoartia; Petromyzontiformes; Petromyzontidae.